This 456-nucleotide ribosomal RNA is filed under the name uncultured bacterium. RNAcentral's name for it is "bacterial SSU rRNA". It matches the Rfam family "Bacterial small subunit ribosomal RNA", at positions 29 to 532 of the family's 1533-position model. The record is from RNAcentral.
AACGAACGCUGGCGGCAGGCCUAACACAUGCAAGUCGAGCGCCCCGCAAGGGGAGCGGCGGACGGGUGAGUAACGCGUGGGAACGUACCCUUUGCUACGGAAUAGCCUCGGGAAACUGGGAGUAAUACCGUAUGUGCCCUUCGGGGGAAAGAUUUAUCGGCAAAGGAUCGGCCCGCGUUGGAUUAGGUAGUUGGUGGGGUAAUGGCCUACCAAGCCGACGAUCCAUAGCUGGUUUGAGAGGAUGAUCAGCCACACUGGGACUGAGACACGGCCCAGACUCCUACGGAGGCAGCAGUGGGGAAUCUUAGACAAUGGGCGCAAGCCUGAUCUAGCCAUGCCGCGUGAGCGAUGAAGGCCUUAGGGUUGUAAAGCUCUUUCAGUGGGGAAGGAUAAUGACUGUACCCACAGAAGAAGCCCCGGCUAACUCCGUGCCAGCAGCCGCGGUAAAGUAGACGU